This 484-nucleotide ribosomal RNA is filed under the name uncultured bacterium. Its description in RNAcentral is "partial 16S ribosomal RNA". It matches the Rfam family "Bacterial small subunit ribosomal RNA", at positions 30 to 507 of the family's 1533-position model. The record is from RNAcentral.
AUUGAACGCUGGCGGCAGGCCUAACACAUGCAAGUCGAGCGGAUGAAGCGAGCUUGCUCCUGGAUUCAGCGGCGGACGGGUGAGUAAUGCCUAGGAAUCUGCCUGGUUUUGGUGUAUAACGUCCUGAAACGGGCGCUAAUACCGCAUACGUCCUGAUGGUGAAAGUUGGGGAUCUUCGGACCUCUCGCUAUCUGAUGAGCCUAGGGCGGAUUAGCUAGUUGGUGUGGUAAAGGCCUACCAAGGCGACGAUCCGUAACUGGUCUGAGAGGAUGAUCAGUCACACGGGAAGGGAGAAACGGUACAGACGACUAAGGGAGGCAGCAGAGGGGAAUAGUGGACAAUGGGCGAAAGCAUGAUACAGACAUGGCGCGUGUGUGAAGAAGGUCUUGGGAUUGGAAAGAACGUUAAGUGGGGAGGAAGGGCAGUAAGUUAAGACCUAGCUGGUGUGACGGGACCAACAGAAUAAGCACCGGCUAACUACGUG